UACGUAGGUGGCAAGCGUUGUUCGGAAUUAUUGGGCGUAAAGGGCGCGUAGGCGGUUUGUUAAGUCAGCUGUGAAAGCCCGGGGCUCAACCCCGGAGGGUCAGCUGAUACUGGCAGGCUAGAGUACAGAAGAGGUAACUGGAAUUCCCGGUGUAGCGGUGAAAUGCGUAGAUAUCUGAAGGAACAUCAGUGGCGAAAGCGACUUCCUGGACCAAUACUGACGCUCAUGUGCGAAAGCGUGGGGAGCAAACAGG
Molecule: ribosomal RNA, 253 nt
Filed under: uncultured bacterium
Lineage: Bacteria
Description: partial 16S ribosomal RNA
Rfam family: Bacterial small subunit ribosomal RNA
Source: RNAcentral